UGAUAUAGUAAUUUAAAAAAAAAAUCCAGGUACAAAUUUAAGCUAUUAAUUAACAUUGGUCACAGUACUUAAUCUUCAUUAAGUAUCUAAGUGAAUGUUCCAUAUUGAUAAGAACUGCAUGACAAUGCUACAGAGCAUAGGUCAGAAUGGCAAAGCCAGUGGACAUACAAAAUGUGUUGAAAUAGACACGCACUCUAAGAAGCAGUUCUUGAAAUAGGACUGACCGAGGUGGGAUGAUUCACUCCUCUCUCAUUUGACAUGUGUGCUCUCACUAAAUUCUACAUGCCUCUGUAUCACAUUCCUACGAACUUUCAGCAUUCCAGAAUUCUCCCACUGGUAAAACAUAGGGAGAGGUUAAUAACAAUUAUCUGCACCCUCAUUUGGUGCCCAGGGAUCUCGUGCCAACACCCAUUUCCUCCUUGGGGGGAUGGGCAGGAGGUCAUAUAGUAGGAUAUAUAUAAACAUUCUCUGAGACUGGAGACCAGUUGCUUAGAUACCGUAUGAGAUACCCAGCCUUGACAACCACACCACAGCAUAUAAUAAAUUGAGCAUCUAAUUGAAACCCAUCUGAGAAUCUACCUGAUUCAUUUUCCGUCGGUGGCUGCCAGAAGCAAUAUAGACCAACAGGAAAUCAUUAAGGAGGCAGCUAUAGCAGAAAGUACUUGCUGAUUUGGGGAAGGCACCUUUGAGAAGUGAGGCUCCUUCAUUUCAAGACAGAAACUCCUGCUCUUACCACUGAGAGCGAGUUAUUUUCCAACGCAGCCUAUGAGCCACUUGGGUCAUAGUACAAAUUUGCAAGGCCGAAUGCAAGGAGUGAAUUUUACCAAGCAGUUCCCUUUCCCCGGCAGCAGCAUCUCCCAGGGCUGCUUUGUGAGAGCACUGUAGAUCACAGCUUGUGGUAGCCCACAUUAGAAGAGAAUCAAGAACCUUAGCCCUCAAAGACCUGCUCCCACAUGGUUUCUGUGGAACCCCAGACACCAACUACUAUGACGAAUGACACUCAGUGUUUUGGAAGGCAAAUACCAACUGAAGAAUCUGAUAACCACUUCUCUCACUAGUCCACUGGUGAAUAAUAACUCAAUCUACCAGCUGAACUGCAUAAUUCCACAUUGCUUCAAGGCUUCACAUUGCAUCCCUCACCAAAACCAAUCACCAUGCAAGUAUACAUCACUCAACUACAAUAUGAUUAAUAACUAGUAAUAAUAGCUAGUAGUAUUGGUAAUUAUUAACUGAAUAUCCAUAGCUCGACGUGGGUUAUCUCAUUUGCUCUUCAAAACUACCCUCUGAUAGAACACUACUGAUAGCCUCAUUUUAUAGAUGAAGAAACUGAAACUCUAAGUGGGUCUGUCAGCCAUCCAAUACGCAUG
Oryctolagus cuniculus (rabbit) is the source of this 1367-nucleotide non-coding RNA. Lineage: Eukaryota; Metazoa; Chordata; Mammalia; Lagomorpha; Leporidae. The record is from RefSeq and is a predicted model, not a curated record.